CUGGCUCAGGACGAACGCUGGCGGCGUGCUUAACACAUGCAAGUCAAGGAGAACGUCUACUUCGGUGGAGCUAGUAAACUGGCGGACGGGUGAGUAACGCGUAGGUAACCUGCCUAUAAGCCCUGGAUAACAUUGCUAACGCGGUGCUAAUACGGGAUGUGGCAUUAUAUAUUAUGUAAAUAAUGUUAAAGCGGGCCUCUCGAAGAAGCUCGUACUUAUAGAUGGACCUGCGUCUCAUUAGCUAGUUGGUGAGGUAACGGCUCACCAAGGCGACGAUGGGUAGCCGGCCUGAGAGGGCGAUCGGCCACACUGGGACUGAGAUACGGCCCAGACUCCUACGGGAGGCAGCAGUGAGGAAUCUUGCGCAAUGGGCGAAAGCCUGACGCAGCAACGCCGCGUGUGGGAAGAAGCUUUUCGGAGUGUAAACCACUGUUAGGAGGGACGAAGGUUAGAUAUUCGAACAGGGUAUUUGAUUGACGGUACCUCCAGAGGAAGCCCCGGCUAACUCCGUGCCAGCAGCCGCGGUAACACGGGGGGGGCGAGCGUUGUCCGGAAUCAUUGGGCGUAAAGGGCGCGUAGGCGGGAUAAUCAGUCUGUGGUGGAAGCUUGAGGCUUAACCUCAAGUUUGCCUUGGAUACUGUUAUUCUUGAGUACGGGAGAGGGAAGUGGAAUUCCUGGUGUAGCGGUGAAAUGCGUAGAUAUCAGGAAGAACACCGGUGGCGAAGGCGGCUUCCUGGCCCGAAACUGACGCUGAGGCGCGAAAGCGUGGGUAGCGAACAGGAUUAGAUACCCUGGUAGUCCACGCAGUAAACGAUGGGCACUAGGUGUUGGGACUAUACGUUUCAGCGCCGGAGCUAACGCAUUAAGUGCCCCGCCUGGGGAGUACGACCGCAAGGUUGAAACUCAAAGGAAUUGACGGGGGCCCGCACAAGCGGUGGAGCAUGUGGUUUAAUUCGAUGCAACGCGAAGAACCUUACCUGGGCUUGAACUGCUAAUGACAGAUUGUGAAAGCAAUUUUUCUUUCGGGACAUUAGUAGAGGUGCUGCAUGGCUGUCGUCAGCUCGCGUCGUGAGAUGUUGGGUUAAGUCCCGCAACGAGCGCAACCCUUGCCCUUAGUUGCCAUCAGUUAAAGCUGGGAACUCUAAGGGGACUGCCACGGCGAACGUGGAGGAAGGUGGGGAUGACGUCAAGUCCUCAUGGCCCUUACGUCCAGGGCUACACACGUGCUACAAUGGUCGGUACAACGGGCAGCUAGCCAGUGAUGGUACGCGAAUCCCUUAAAACCGAUCUCAGUUCGGAUUAAAGUCUGCAACUCGACUUUAUGAAGUUGGAAUCGCUAGUAAUCGCGGAUCAGCAUGCCGCGGUGAUACGUUCCCGGGCCUUGUACACACCGCCCGUCACGCCAUGGAAGUCGGUAGUGCCCGAAGCCGGUGGCCCAAUCCGCCGUUAGGCGGAAGGGAGCCGUCGAAGGUG
Molecule: ribosomal RNA, 1473 nt
Filed under: uncultured organism
Description: bacterial SSU rRNA
Rfam family: Bacterial small subunit ribosomal RNA
Source: RNAcentral